CCCACACACCGUUUACUAGGAUCCAGAUAUUCCAAACUAUUGGUCUGUCCAAACCCUGGCACUCUGACAUCCACUCCCGGAGGAGCUUUACCAACUUUUUCAAUGCCGUUGCAGCCAGAAGUAUUUUGUCUAUUCAUUUUCUCAUAGAGAUUUCUU
Molecule: long non-coding RNA, 156 nt
Organism: Sinocyclocheilus rhinocerous
Lineage: Eukaryota; Metazoa; Chordata; Actinopteri; Cypriniformes; Cyprinidae
Exons: 2
Source: RefSeq, a predicted model, not a curated record